This 3004-nucleotide long non-coding RNA is filed under the name Homo sapiens (human). Its description in RNAcentral is "HSALNT0241832". Lineage: Eukaryota; Metazoa; Chordata; Mammalia; Primates; Hominidae. The record is from RNAcentral.
CUUGGGGGUUCCCACAUCAGAGCUGUGAGCACCUCCAUGGGAACACGAAGUGAAGGAGGCAGGCGUUGUCAUUCCCACUUGUGAGGUGAUUGAGGAUGCUCUCGGGUGCUGGGAGCAGAAGCAAUGCGGCCUGAACCCAGGUAUGGAUUUCAUUUUGAAGAAAGGUCUCCUUGUAGGGCACUAUCCUGGACCCAGUGGGCCUGCCCUUCCUAUUUAUUUCUUAGUGAAACCAGAAAGUUUGCUGGGGCCAGUAUGAUGGAGCAUCGUGACUGACAAAUGGCUGGGAUUAGUCUAAUGGGUAGGCAGCUGUAUAUGGAGGAAGGCGAUGAGGGAUCAGACCAUUUCCCCAGAUUCCAGUGGAAACUUUGCAGGCAGUAGCUAAAUGAGUCAGAGAAGAUAAGAAGACUGGAGUACCUUGCAGAACACUUCCCAUACCCUCCCACCUCCAGCCCCAAGGAGGAUUAGGAUGCAGGGAGUCUGCAGAUGAAACAGUUGUUUACAAAGGCUGGAGAAGCAUGCCAGGAAACUAGUCCAGGGGCAGUUUCCAGGGCCUGAGAUUGAUACUACUCCAUCUUGAAAACUGAAAAAAAAAAAAAAAAAAAAAAAAAAAAAAGUGUGACUCUUUAGUUCUGUACUCCCUUUAGUUCUGGGAGUGCAUUUGGAGUUUCCUUUAAAUUCUAUGUGGAUACAGGAUGCUGAAGGAGGAGAAUCACUUGAACCCCAGAGUCAGAGGUUGCAGUGAGAUGAGAUGAUGCCACUGCUCUCCAGCCUGGGCGACAGAGUAAGACUGUUUCAAAAAUAAAACAAAAGGCCAGGCGUGGUGGCUCACGCCUAUAAUCCCAGCACUUUGUGACUCCAUCUCAAAAAAAAAAUAAUAAAUAAAUAAAAUAAAAUAAAUUGUAUGUGGAUAAAUUGAGGAGAGCUAAGGUGCAACACAUGAGAAAGAGACAAGGGGUGGGGGUGGGCACAGUGGCUCACGCCUGUAAUCCCACCACUUUGGGAGGCCAAGGCAGGUGGAUCACCUGCGGUCAGGAGUUCACCAGCCUGGCCAACAUGGUGAAACCUUGUCUCUACUAAAAAUACAAAAAUUAGCUAGGCAUGGUGGCACACGCCUGUAGUCCCAGCUACUCCGGAGGCGGAGGCAGGAUUGUUGCUUGAGCCCAUGAGGCAGAGGUUGUAGCGAGCCGAGAUCACGCCACUACACUCCAGCCUGGGCGACACAGUGAAACUCCAACUCAAAAAGAAAAAAAAAAGGGGGCGGGCGUGGGUGCUGGGAAGGCAAGAAGGAAAUAGCAGAGGAGAGACAAGGGAACUCCUGGCUUGGGAAGGCUCUUGCCUGUCCCACCUCAUGCAAGCAUAAGCACUCCUGCCAAGACGGGGGCCCUCCGGAGGAUGUCCAACUUAAAGCUCAGAUCCUGGGCAGCAGCAAUGGGGAGGGGAUUGGGGUAUCCCAGGGCAGAUGGCCUUAAGGGACCUAUUUGUAGAGGCAGAGGCCCAGAGGCUGUCAUAUGCAAGCUGCUUAGGGUCACAAGAGAAAUCCGGAGCUUCCCUGAUGACCAUCUUUCUUCUCCUCCUCUUUCUGACUCUCUUCUUCCUUCCACUCUCCCUAAACCUGCUGAAUCCCUUAGGCAGCUGGGAUCAACAUAAGCUAGAAACUGAUGCGUAUACAAGGGAAAUCGGGAAGCCUAGAAACAGCAGAACCUGGGAGGGGUACCUGUGUACAGGGCAAAUGAAGGGAGCCUGAAAACAGCUGAAUCUGGGGAGAUGGAACUGCCUAGUGAGAGAGCAAGGGGCUUCUGGAAACUGCUGAAUCCAGGGAGGCCAAUUUGUAUACCGGGGAAAUAUGGGGGAACCUAGAAACAGCAGGAUCUGGGGAGACAGUCGUGUACAGGGGGCAGACAGAGGGAGUAGCCUGAAAACAGUUGAAUCUGGGGAGGAAGAUUCGUGUGCAGAGGGAACAAGGGGAGACUGGAAACAGCACAAUCUGGGGAGAUAGGAUAGUGUACAGUAGAAGCUAGGGUGGCCUGGAAACUGGGGCUCUCAGGGGAUGAAUCUGCUUUAAAUUGCACGGGGGGGUGAGGGAGCCUGGGGAAUCUGAUGUGGCAGGCGCGAGCAGGGACACGGGCAAGCACAGGGGUGGAGUCAGGGUGCUGGUUGCAUGGAAGGGGAACGCAAUGGAACUCCCUGCCUUGUAGGUUUGAGUUAGACCCCUUGGCAGCCUCUUCUUGCAGACAGGGCAGGGUAAGGGAGUAGCUCUCCAAUGGGGAGCCAGGAUUUCACACGGCAAGAAGAGAAGGGCCUUUGUGUGCAGUUGCUGCCCUGGUCCUAAAAUGAGCAAAGCCUGGAAUUCCCUAGGGGAAACAGCCCAGGAGUUGGAGUGGGAGAGGAUGAGGAGGUUGAAGGAGCUUCGGUCCCCUUGCCUGCCUUCUUCCCAACCCCUCUCUGACAGGGAUAGGCCUCUUUCUCCCUUUCUACCGACCAGCCUGACCUCUCCCUUCAGCAGUUCCCUUCUGAGUGACAGACAGACAAAGACAGAGCUGUAGACCAUUGACUGAAGGAGGCCCCACAAAAGUUCUCUCCCAACCCACCAUCCCCCCAUACCCUCCCCAGAGGCCCUGAGCCAGCCAGGGCCAACAGGAGCUGUCACUCUAGUGGAGCUGCCUUCAGUCUGAGAAACCACUGCGUUUAGCACAAGAAGCAUGGCUUGGGCUGAUGCUCUGAUGGUUCCAGAAACCCUGCCCACCUCCAGGCUGUGCAGAUGAAAUCAUUCCCAGCACUUACAGAACGGGAAUGGAAGAGUCUUGUCCAGAUGGAAGGGGAACUAUGGUUGCCUGCCUUACCUCUCUUGGGGACCUCAGGUGACCUGCCUCAACAUACCAAGGGGGAGGAGGAGGAGUCUUCAGGGGACAGUGCUGGGAGCUGGACUCCCGGGGUUCAAUGUCACCAAAGAUGGCCUGGGGACACAGAACCUCUUGCGAACCGCACUGGGUCCAGUCCUCCCUAA